UUUCCACUUAGUCCAAUAAAUAAUAUAGUAAUACAGCAUUUCGCCGCUCUUUAAUUAUAUUUUUUUGGCCUUCGUCUCCGCUUCGUCUCGUCUCGUCUCACAACCGCCAGUCCACCACCAGCUCGCCGGAAUUCCCUCGCCGGAGAGGCGCUGCGGCUGCAUACCUAGGAGGAGGAGCGAAGAAUGGGGAGGAGUGGAGGGGUGCCCGCUGCCGCGCUCGCUCGCUAGGGUUAGGUGCGCGCGUGCGUGAGGAUGGAGCUCGCUCUCUGAGCUCGCCUCGCCCCCCAGCUGAGGGCAUUAGCUGUGCCGUCGCUGCGCGCUGGGUGAUCCGCCCUCCUGUGAGCUCCGGGGGAGCCGUUUUGGCUUGCGCCAUGGAGCCAUCUCUUCUGGGCGCGGCCACGGGUUGCGUGUUGUGGUAAGCUCCUGGCCGCGACAAGCUGAAGCGGAUCUCGACUGCCGAUCUGGUGCUAGCAGGAUGCCAGCUAGAAUCAUGGAGCAGAGGCACCACAUGCCCCCAUUCCACCUCCCCGUGGAGUCCGAAUCGUCUUCUCCCAUGUGAAAAAAGAUUCAUUGAUUUCGGGAAGUAGGUCUGCUGCAUCUUCUCCAGUCGAAAAGCCAAAGCCUAUUGGCCAAAGGUUGUGCAUCAAUUAGGGCUUAUGGAGCCAUACAAGUUGAUGGACCAGAAAACUCCCUUUGGUGAGCGCAAGUUGUUGGGCCAUCAAAGGCAUGUUAACCUGCCGCCAACCCCCUGGAGGGCUGAUCAAGAUCCUCUACAACAACAUGAUUCAUUUUCGAAGCCGUUGGCUUUAUUUCCUAAUGCUAGAAAGGGACAUUUAAAUAUGACCCAAUAUGAGAAUGGACUUUUCUCAAGCUCCCUUCCAGACAUUUUUGACAACAAAUUGAGACUAACACCUAAGAAUGGCCUUGUUGGCCAGCCAGCUGAAAAGGAAGUCAACCAUGCAGAUGACGAGCCUUUUGAAUUAACUCAGGAAAUUGAGGCACAAGUAAUUGGCAAUCUCCUCCCUGAUGACGACGACUUAUUGUCAGGUGUUCUUUAUAAUGUGGGUCACCCUGCCCGUGCUAAUAACAUGGAUGACAUUGAUGACGAUAUAUUCUCUACUGGAGGUGGAAUGGAAUUGGAAGCUGAUGAAAAUAACAAAUUGCUAAAACUUAACGGUGGAGCCAACACCGGUCAGACUGGGUUCAAUGGCCUACUGUAUGGUGAAAACCCCUCGAGAACCCUUUCCAUUAGAAACAUUAAUACCAAUGUUGAGGAUACUGAAUUGAAACUCCUAUUUGAGCAAUAUGGAGACAUCCGAACACUUUACACUGCCUACAAACAUCAUGGUUUAGUGAUGAUAUCUUACUAUGAUAUAAGAUCGGCAGAACGUGCCAUGAAAGCGCUUCAAAGCAAGCCAUUCAGGCAGUGGAAACUUGAGAUACAUUACUCCAUCCCAAAGGAGAACCCUUUGGAGAAUGAUAACAACCAGGGCACACUUGCAGUGAUUAACCUAGACCAGUCUGUAACUAAUGAUGAUCUUCGUCAUAUAUUUGGUGGCUAUGGUGAAAUCAAGGCGAUUCACGGGACAUCACAAAACGGCCAUCACAAAUACGUUGACUUUUUUGAUACCAGAGCAGCAGAAGCUGCACUUUAUGCUUUGAACAUGAGAGAUAUUGCAGGAAAGAAAAUCAGAUUAGAGCGCUGCUGCGCGGGCGACGGUAAACGUCUGACGACGCUACAUAGGCCUCCUGAGUUGGAGCAGGAAGAGUAUGGUGCAUGCAAGCUAGGAAAUGCAAACAGUCUGCCGUCAACUUACUACGGUUCUGUCAACAUGGCUUCCAUGACUUCCGCUGGUCCUGAACAUGGGAUCUCUCGGGUUCUGCGUCCCAGAGUUCAGCCACCAAUACACCAAUUCAGGGAGGGAGCUUUCCUGGAUGUUCCCUCAAGUACUAUGCAAAGUAUAUCCUCUCCUGUUAGAAUUGCAACUGCAGUAACGCAUAACAACCGGUCGACUGUCGGCACAAUAUCACCCAUUGGAGUUAAGAGCAACUCUAGAACUGCUGAAGGAAUGGAGAGCAGACAUCUUUACAAAGUUGGUUCUGCUAACCUUGGUGGUCAUUCUUCUGGUCAUACCGAAGCACCCGGGUUUUCAAGAACUGGAAGCUGCCCCCUUCAUGGCCACCAAGUAGCGUGGAAUAAUUCAAAUAACUCCCAUCAUCAUACCUCUUCUCCCAUGCUAUGGCCGAACUCAGGAUCAUUUAUCAAUAAUAUACCAUCUCGACCUCCCACGCAAGCGCAUGGAAUUUCAAGAACAUCUCGCAUGCUUGAAAAUGUCCUUCCAGUGAAUCAUCAUGUUGGAUCUGCACCAGCUGUCAAUCCAUCAAUUCUGGACAGGAGAACUGGUUAUGCAGGGGAGCUGAUGGAAGCGCCAAGUUUCCAUCCUGGGAGUGCUGGAAGCAUGGGUUUCUCUGGUAGUCCGCAUCUGCAUCAGUUGGAGCUCACUAGCAUGUUUCCUCAGAGUGGAGGGAACCAAGCCAUGUCCCCUGCACACAUUGGUGCUCGAUCUCCUCAGCAGAGGGGGCAUAUGUUUCAUGGAAGGGGUCAUAUAGGUCCCCCUCCAUCUUCAUUUGAUUCACCAGGUGAACGUGCAAGGAGCCGAAGAAACGAGUCAUGUGCUAAUCAAUCGGAUAAUAAAAGGCAGUAUGAGCUAGACAUUGAGCGUAUAGUCUGCGGCGAGGAUUCCCGGACUACAUUAAUGAUAAAGAACAUCCCAAACAAGUACACCUCUAAGAUGCUUUUGACCGCUAUUGAUGAAAAUCACAAGGGAACUUAUGAUUUUAUCUAUCUUCCAAUUGACUUUAAGAAUAAAUGCAAUGUGGGCUACGCAUUCAUCAAUAUGAUAAGUCCUGAGCAUAUUGUUCCAUUCUAUAAGAUAUUCCAUGGGAAAAGGUGGGAGAAAUUCAAUAGCGAGAAGGUAGCAUCACUUGCAUAUGCUAGAAUCCAAGGAAAAUCAUCUCUAAUUGCGCACUUCCAAAAUUCAAGUUUGAUGAAUGAGGAUAAACGCUGCCGCCCUAUACUUUUCCACUCAGAUGGUCCAAACGCAGGGGAUCAAGAACCUUUUCCAAUGGGAACACACGUCCGUUCUAGGCCUGGGCGAUCCAGGGUUUUGAGCUGCGAAGAAAGUCACCGGGACACUCUGUCAUCUUCUGCCAACAAUUGGACUCCUUCCAACGGGGGCGGCCACGCUUCAGGCUACUCAAAGGAGGCUGACCCAACCACAGCUUGAAAGCUGAAGCACUAACCACAACAUCAACAUCCAACCUUUUGACAUUUGCAAUCCCAGUUUUCACAUUACCAUCCUUUCCCACCUCUUUUUGCUUGUGGUAUUUUCGGAGUCUGUAGCUAUUUAGUACUUCCUAUGUCGUGGGCUACCAGAGGCUCCUUAGAGGCUGCAAAUUUUGUCGCUGAGUAGAAGCAAGGGAACGGACGGAGGGUGCUCCCAGUUUCUCCUGAGCCUAUAUGCGUGUAUUAACUGAAGGCCGUGGAAGGCAAAACUCGUGGGGAGCUCUCUGAGAUUUUGGACUGUAAGGUGUAACCCAGCGUUGUACAGGGUUUCCUAGUAAGAAUGCAUGACGGGGACAGCCGACACUGUAUUGGUGCUGUUGUAUGAAAGGCAGGCUGUGCCCUGCUGCGUCUUUUGAAACUGUUUUGAUGUUAAUU
RNAcentral lists this ribosomal RNA (3721 nucleotides) under Triticum aestivum (bread wheat). RNAcentral describes it as "partial small subunit ribosomal RNA". The record is from RNAcentral. Lineage: Eukaryota; Viridiplantae; Streptophyta; Magnoliopsida; Poales; Poaceae.